RNAcentral lists this transfer RNA (64 nucleotides) under Tropiphorus elevatus. RNAcentral describes it as "tRNA-His". Lineage: Eukaryota; Metazoa; Arthropoda; Insecta; Coleoptera; Curculionidae. The record is from RNAcentral.
AUCUAAAUAGUUUAUUAAAAUGUUAAUUUGUGGGAUUAAAGAUAUGGUUUUACCAUUUUAGAUA